ACGAACGCUGGCGGCGUGCUUAACACCUGCAAGUCGAACGGAAAGGCCCUGCUUUUGUGGGGUGCUCGAGUGGCGAACGGGUGAGUAACACGUGAGUAACCUGCCCUUGACUUUGGGAUAACUUCAGGAAACUGGGGCUAAUACCGGAUAGGAGCUCCUGCUGCAUGGUGGGGGUUGGAAAGUUUCGGCGGUUGGGGAUGGACUCGCGGCUUAUCAGCUUGUUGGUGGGGUAGUGGCUUACCAAGGCUUUGACGGGUAGCCGGCCUGAGAGGGUGACCGGCCACAUUGGGACUGAGAUACGGCCCAGACUCCUACGGGAGGCAGCAGUGGGGAAUAUUGCACAAUGGGCGGAAGCCUGAUGCAGCAACGCCGCGUGCGGGGUGACGGCCUUCGGGUUGUAAACCGCUUUCGCCUGUGACGAAGCGUGAGUGACGGUAAUGGGUAAAGAAGCACCGGCUAACUACGUG
Molecule: ribosomal RNA, 467 nt
Filed under: uncultured bacterium
Lineage: Bacteria
Description: partial 16S ribosomal RNA
Rfam family: Bacterial small subunit ribosomal RNA
Source: RNAcentral